RNAcentral lists this ribosomal RNA (390 nucleotides) under uncultured bacterium. Its description in RNAcentral is "bacterial SSU rRNA". It matches the Rfam family "Bacterial small subunit ribosomal RNA", at positions 144 to 518 of the family's 1533-position model. The record is from RNAcentral.
UAGCCCAAGGGAAACCUGGAUUAAUACCGGAUGAGACGGGACCCGCGAUGGCGGGACCCGGGAAGGCGCUGCGGCGCCGCCGGGGGAUGGAGUCUGCGUCCCAUUAGGCUAGACGGCGGGGUAACGGCCCACCGUGGCGACGAUGGGUAGCCGGCCUGAGAGGGUGGACGGCCACAUUGGAACUGAGACACGGUCCAGACUCCUACGGGAGGCAGCAGCUAAGAAUCUUCCGCAAUGGGCGAAAGCCUGACGGAGCGACGCCCGCGUGAACGAAGAAGGCCGUGAGGUUGUAAAGUUCUUUUCGGGAGGGGGAACAACCGUGGCAGGGAAUGGCCGCGGGAUGACGUGAAUCCCGGAAUAAGCCCCGGCUAACUACGUGCCAGCAGCCGC